RNAcentral lists this ribosomal RNA (916 nucleotides) under uncultured bacterium. RNAcentral describes it as "bacterial SSU rRNA". It matches the Rfam family "Bacterial small subunit ribosomal RNA", at positions 246 to 1155 of the family's 1533-position model. The record is from RNAcentral.
UUGUUGGUAAGGUAAAAGCUUACCAAGGCUUCGAUCAGUAGCUGGUCUGAGAGGACGGCCAGCCACACUGGGACUGAGACACGGCCCAGACUCCUACGGGAGGCAGCAGUGGGGAAUUUUGGACAAUGGGGGCAACCCUGAUCCAGCCAUGCCGCGUGAGUGAAGAAGGCYUUCGGGUUGUAAAGCUCUUUCAGCCGGAACGAAACGGUUACGGUUAAUACCCGUGACUACUGACGGUACCGGAAGAAGAAGCACCGGCUAACUACGUGCCAGCAGCCGCGGUAAUACGUAGGGUGCGAGCGUUAAUCGGAAUUACUGGGCGUAAAGCGUGCGCAGGUGGUUUUGUAAGUCAGAUGUGAAAGCCCCGGGCUCAACCUGGGAACUGCGUUUGAAACUACAAGACUAGAGUGUGGCAGAGGGGGGUGGAAUUCCGCGUGUAGCAGUGAAAUGCGUAGAGAUGUGGAGGAACACCGAUGGCGAAGGCAGCCCCCUGGGUCAACACUGACGCUCAGGCACGAAAGCAUGGGGAGCAAACAGGAUUAGAUACCCUGGUAGUCCAUGCCCUAAACGAUGUCAACUAGUUGUCGGGCCUUUACGGGCUUGGUAACGUAGCUAACGCGUGAAGUUGACCGCCUGGGGAGUACGAUCGCAAGAUUAAAACUCAAAUGAAUUGACGGGGACCCGCACAAGCGGUGGAUUAUGUGGAUUAAUUCGAUGCAACGCGAAAAACCUUACCUACCCUUGACAUGUAUCGAAGCCCGCAGAAAAGCGGGGGUGCCCGAAAGGGAACGAUAACACAGGUGCUGCAUGGCUGUCGUCAGCUCGUGUCGUGAGAUGUUGGGUUAAGUCCCGCAACGAGCGCAACCCUUGUCAUUAAUUGCCAUCAUUUAGUUGGGCACUUUAAUGAGACUGCCGG